Molecule: ribosomal RNA, 492 nt
Filed under: uncultured bacterium
Lineage: Bacteria
Description: partial 16S ribosomal RNA
Rfam family: Bacterial small subunit ribosomal RNA
Source: RNAcentral
AGUGAACGCUGGCGGUAGGCCUAACACAUGCAAGUCGAACGGCAGCACAGUAAGAGCUUGCUCUUACGGGUGGCGAGUGGCGGACGGGUGAGGAAUACAUCGGAAUCUACUUUUUCGUGGGGGAUAACGUAGGGAAACUUACGCUAAUACCGCAUACGACCUACGGGUGAAAGCAGGGGAUCUUCGGACCUUGCGCGAUUGAAUGAGCCGAUGUCGGAUUAGCUAGUUGGCGGGGUAAAGGCCCACCAAGGCGACGAUCCGUAGCUGGUCUGAGAGGAUGAUUCGCCACACUGGAACUGAGAAACGGUCCCGACUCCUACGGGAGGCAGCAGUGGGGAAUAUUGGACAAUGGGCGAGAGCCUGAUCCAGCAAUACCGCGUGGGUGAAGAAGGACUUCGGGUUGUAAAGCCCUUUUGUUGGGAAAGAAAAGCAGCAGGUUAAUACCCCGCUGUUCUGACGGUACCCAAAGAAUAAGCACCGGCUAACUUCGUG